CGCUGGUUGACGUCACGCCGGCGACCCCGGAUGGUAGCGCAGCUCUGCCUGGCCCCUUCCGUAACCUCUGUUUCGCCCCUUCCGAAACCAGUGGCGAAAAGCCGAGACGACUUCGUGAGUUCUUGCUAACGAUUCUCGGCCUAGGCGCUGAGUCGAGUCACGCUGGAUCUCGGACAGGGAUUGCAAGGACUUUGGAGUGAUCAGUGUAAAAUCUCACCCUUUCCUACUUGCCAAGAAAACCCUGGACAAGAGUCUUGAAUUUUGACGCCCUGUCUCCUCAUUCAUAAAGGGGGGAUAAAAAUGUCUCCUAAGGCUAUAAAGAAGAAAUCUUUGUGAAAUAUGAUAAUGAUUGGUUUUCAUUCACUCGACAUUUUCUGAGAACUUUGCCCAAGACUGAUGGGGACAGUGACUGCAGUGGCGAAACCUACAAGCAAAGUCCCUUUCAUGAUGAAAUUGACGUUUUAAGAAAUCUGCAACUUUUAAUAGGAUCCGUAAAGAAAACAAAGCAGUUCUGAGGUGAAGUGAAUUCCCUAAGCCCUGAGUACAAUAACUGUGGUGUCUGUGAAAUAGAACUUCCAAACUUCCUCAUGCUGAAGACAAGCGCCGAGGAAGUUUAAACUAAUAUUCUUAGGCUGGCUAAGCACAACCUAGAGCUUGUUUCUAUAAUCUAUAUAGAAUCUAUAAUCUAUAUCCAUCCUAAUCUUUGUUUCUAUAAAUUGUAACCAUUCUGUAGGACCAGUGGAGAAACAUGGUAGUUGCUUCUCCUCGUUUUGAUUAAACUGCAUAAAAUCAUUUUUUUCUUUUACAUCCUUUGCUUACAGCUUAGGCCGGUAGGUAGCAUAAUCCAGCCAGCCAGGAUCCAGGCCAGGCGGAGUCUCUUGCUUGGCUGCAGGUAACACUUGUUAAGUUGUUGUAUGGUAGCAGAGAGGAGAGAAUCAGGCUUCUGUUUCGUUUUCUUUUCAGGAGUAGGGGUGAGAGCAGCUCAGCACCUACAGUACCUGAAAACGCCUAGAAUGGAUAUGUCCUUAGUUGUUGAUGACAGGCAAGCUGUGACAUGUUUUUUAAAACAAGCAGGAAAAGAUCUCAACUCAACUGCACUUUUACAGCUUAUCACAAGCUUCUCAAACUAACAUGACCUUUUUUGUUUGUUUAUUUGGAGGGGGGUGAUGCAAAAGAUGUGUCUUGUCUUUGUUUCCAUGUUUGGGAAUGACACCAUAAUCUACUCAGCCUGAUGGUUAAUUCCAUCUUUCUUACCCUCUCAUAUUCAUGUAAGACCAUAUGUCCUCCAGUUCCAAAUGUGGAACAAGCAAUCACAGGCAUGUGCCACCAUAUUCCCUGAGAAUAUAUUAAAAAUAUAUUUUUAAAAAAGAAAAGGAAAAAAAAAGGCACUGGAUAUAGUUGUUGUUGUUGUUGUUUUAAGGCAUUCUGCCAGGUGUGGUGCUGCAUGCCUGUAAUACCAACAAUUUGGAAGGGUAGGCAGAAUGAUUACAAGUUUGAGGCCAGCCUCAGCAAUUUAGCAAGGACCUAAACAACUUAAGACUGAAAAAGGACUGAGGAUGUGUUAAGAGCUAUGGCCUUCUGGGAAACUGAGGUAGAACAAAGACACCCCCCCCUUUAAAGCCCAAUUCUAGCUAUCAAGUCAGAUAUCAAAUGCAUCACUCAAGAGUAACAGGCAUGAGUUUAUUGAAGGGACAGGAAAAGAGAAAAGGGACACUCUAGGGAUAGAAUGGGUCCUCUCAGGGAGGAGAGAGACAGUGUGCCUUUCCUGCACUACAGUUUUAUUGGGGAUCCCAGAGAAGUUUCCAGAGAGUCCUGUGAGGUUCACCUCUUGACUUUUGACUAACAGGAAGAUGACAUCAGACUUUCAAAUCCCCACUGCCAUGACAACUCUAGAUCACCUUGGCUCAUCUCUACCGGUUCUAAUUGGAUUCUUAGCCAAAGAUUCUUACAGAUUUUAUGGUUAGAGGGAAUUAUCCGUACCCCCUGAGUUUCAGGAUCUGGUCUGGGUAAAGGGCCACAAAAUUUCCACCCUCAGGGUAACUUGGGUUCCUUAUCAACAUUAACUGGGUCCUGCAUUUCUCCUGCAGGUAACACGUAGUUUGCUGAGGAAUGUGCCAUAUCCUGUCUACUUAACC
Molecule: long non-coding RNA, 2135 nt
Filed under: Marmota monax (woodchuck)
Lineage: Eukaryota; Metazoa; Chordata; Mammalia; Rodentia; Sciuridae
Source: RNAcentral